ACACCUACGGGGGGCAGCAGUGGGGAAUAUUGCACAAUGGGGGAAACCCUGAUGCAGCGACGCCGCGUGGGGGAAUGAAGGUCUUCGGAUUGUAAACCCCUGUCAUGUGGGAGCAAAUUAAAAAGAUAGUACCACAAGAGGAAGAGACGGCUAACUCUGUGCCAGCAGCCGCGGUAAUACAGAGGUCUCAAGCGUUGUUCGGAAUCACUGGGCGUAAAGCGUGCGUAGGCUGUUUCGUAAGUCGUGUGUGAAAGGCGCGGGCUCAACCCGCGGCCGGCACAUGAUACUGCGAGUCUAG
RNAcentral lists this ribosomal RNA (298 nucleotides) under uncultured bacterium. RNAcentral describes it as "partial 16S ribosomal RNA". It matches the Rfam family "Bacterial small subunit ribosomal RNA", at positions 335 to 644 of the family's 1533-position model. The record is from RNAcentral.